AGAGUUUGAUCAUGGCUCAGAGCGAACGCUGGCGGCAUGCUUAACACAUGCAAGUCGCACGGGCAGGGGUAACUCUGUCAGUGGCGGACGGGUGAGUAACGCGUAGGUAUCUAUCCUUGGGUGGGGGAUAACCACGGGAAACUGUGGCUAAUACCGCAUGAUGACUGAGGUCCAAAGGCGCAAGUCGCCUGGGGAGGAGCCUGCGUCCGAUUAGCUUGUUGGUGGGGUAAAGGCCUACCAAGGCUCCGAUCGGUAGCUGGUCUGAGAGGAUGAUCAGCCACACUGCGACUGAGACACGGCCCAGACUCCUACGGGAGGCAGCAGUGGGGAAUAUUGGACAAUGGGCGAAAGCCUGAUCCAGCAAUGCCGCGUGGGUGAAGAAGGUCUUCGGAUUGUAAAGCCCUUUCGACGGGGACGAUGAUGACGGUACCCGUAGAAGAAGCCCCGGCUAACUUCGUGCCAGCAGCCGCGGUAAUACGAAGGGGGCUAGCGUUGCUCGGAUUGACUGGGCGUAAAGGGCGCGUCGGCGGUUUGUACAGUCAGACGUGAAAUUCCUGGGCUCAACCUGGGGGCUGCGUGUGAUACGUGCGGGCUUGAGUCCGGAAGAGGGUCGUGGAAUUCCCAGUGUAGAGGUGAAAUUCGUAGAUAUUGGGAAGAACACCGGUGGCGAAGGCGGCGACCUGGUCCGGUACUGACGCUGAGGCGCGAAAGCGUGGGGAGCAAACAGGAUUAGAUACCCCCGUAGUCC
RNAcentral lists this ribosomal RNA (748 nucleotides) under uncultured bacterium. RNAcentral describes it as "bacterial SSU rRNA". It matches the Rfam family "Bacterial small subunit ribosomal RNA", at positions 8 to 796 of the family's 1533-position model. The record is from RNAcentral.